This 237-nucleotide long non-coding RNA is filed under the name Pan troglodytes (chimpanzee). Its description in RNAcentral is "long non-coding RNA NONPTRT004169". Lineage: Eukaryota; Metazoa; Chordata; Mammalia; Primates; Hominidae. The record is from RNAcentral.
UUCAACCGAACAGACUUCAAAUAAUGUGCUUUCCAAGGAAGGGGAGAGACAAAACAAAGAUGAGAGAAAGAGAAAAAGAGAUGGAAAUUAUAUGGGCUUUAUACAUAUGGCCAGCACAGAUGCCGAAAAUGGGCUUACCUUAGCCCUAAGGCAUGCAAAGAAUCUUGUGCUCCGCCUUUUAUCUCUGGAUUUAUGAGAAUAAAUAAGUCUGAAAAACAUUAAAAAUAAAAUGGAUUU